This 324-nucleotide ribosomal RNA is filed under the name uncultured bacterium. RNAcentral's name for it is "bacterial SSU rRNA". It matches the Rfam family "Bacterial small subunit ribosomal RNA", at positions 28 to 334 of the family's 1533-position model. The record is from RNAcentral.
GAUGAACGCUGGCGGCGUGCCUAACACAUGCAAGUCGAGCGAAGCGCCUUACUUGAUUUCUUCGGGAUGAAAGUAUUGUGACUGAGCGGCGGACGGGUGAGUAACGCGUGGAUAACCUGCCUCAUACAGGGGGAUAACAGUUAGAAAUGGCUGCUAAUACCGCAUAAGCGCACAGGACCGCAUGGUCUGGUGUGAAAAACUCCGGUGGUAUAAGAUGGACCCGCGUCUGAUUAGCUGGUUGGUGGGGUAACGGCCCACCAAGGCGACGAUCAGUAGCCGGCCUGAGAGGGUGAACGGCCACAUUGGGACUGAGACACGGCCCAG